CUGUCCAAGACCCCUCUGUGCCCCCCGGCCCAGGUGGGGACUUUCUGCAGGGGGUGGAACCAGCCUCCUGGGGCAGCCCCGGGCUCUGCCGAUACCAGCCCCUGAGCCGGAGCCUGCAGGCUGCAGAAUGACAUCCACAUCUUGCUCCAGAUCCUGCCAUCCUCCCAGGGCACAGGGAAGAGACAUGGCUGCUGCAGUGGUGCUGGCUCAGGGGCUGGUGACCUUCGAGGAGGUGGCUGUGUAUUUUACUGAAGAGCAAUGGGCUCUGC
Chrysemys picta bellii (western painted turtle) is the source of this 269-nucleotide non-coding RNA. Lineage: Eukaryota; Metazoa; Chordata; Testudines; Emydidae. The record is from RefSeq and is a predicted model, not a curated record.